CAGGGAGUAGUUUAGAGAGAAUAUCAGCUUUGGGAGUUGAAGGCGGAAUUUGUAUUUCUUCCCUGA
Molecule: transfer RNA, 66 nt
Filed under: Sciurus ignitus (Bolivian squirrel)
Lineage: Eukaryota; Metazoa; Chordata; Mammalia; Rodentia; Sciuridae
Description: Hadrosciurus ignitus (Bolivian squirrel) tRNA-Pro
Rfam family: tRNA
About the family: Transfer RNA (tRNA) molecules are approximately 80 nucleotides in length. Their secondary structure includes four short double-helical elements and three loops (D, anti-codon, and T loops).
Source: RNAcentral